RNAcentral lists this ribosomal RNA (766 nucleotides) under uncultured bacterium. RNAcentral's name for it is "bacterial SSU rRNA". It matches the Rfam family "Bacterial small subunit ribosomal RNA", at positions 75 to 840 of the family's 1533-position model. The record is from RNAcentral.
GGGGGCAACCCCUUGAGAGUGGCGAACGGGUGAGUAAUGUAUCGGAACGUGCCCAGUCGUGGGGGAUAACGUAGUGAAAAUUACGCUAAUACCGCAUACGAUCUAUGGAUGAAAGCGGGGGAUCGCAAGACCUCGCGCGAUUGGAGCGGCCGAUAUCAGAUUAGGUAGUUGGUGGGGUAAAGGCUCACCAAGCCAACGAUCUGUAGCUGGUCUGAGAGGACGACCAGCCACACUGGAACUGAGACACGGUCCAGACUCCUACGGGAGGCAGCAGUGGGGAAUUUUGGACAAUGGACGCAAGUCUGAUCCAGCCAUUCCGCGUGCAGGACGAAGGCCUUCGGGUUGUAAACUGCUUUUGUACGGAACGAAAAAGCUCUUAUUAAUACUAGGAGUCCAUGACGGUACCGUAAGAAUAAGCACCGGCUAACUACGUGCCAGCAGCCGCGGUAAUACGUAGGGUGCAAGCGUUAAUCGGAAUUACUGGGCGUAAAGCGUGCGCAGGCGGUUAUAUAAGACAGAUGUGAAAUCCCCGAGCUUAACUUGGGAACUGCAUUUGUGACUGUAUAGCUAGAGUACGGCAGAGGGGGAUGGAAUUCCGCGUGUAGCAGUGAAAUGCGUAGAUAUGCGGAGGAACACCGAUGGCGAAGGCAAUCCCCUGGGCCUGUACUGACGCUCAUGCACGAAAGCGUGGGGAGCAAACAGGAUUAGAUACCCUGGUAGUCCACGCCCCAAACGAUGUCAACUGGUUGUUGGGUCUUCCCUGACU